GAAGCUGGAUUCGCUAGUAAUCGCGCAUCAGCCAUGGCGCGGUGAAUACGUUCCCGGGCCUUGUACACACCGCCCGUCAAGCCAUGGAAGCCGGGGGCGCUUGAAGUGCGUUGCCGCAAGGCGCGCCCUAGAGCGAAACCGGUGACUGGGGCUAAGUCGUAACAAGGUAAC
This 171-nucleotide ribosomal RNA is filed under the name uncultured bacterium. RNAcentral describes it as "partial 16S ribosomal RNA". It matches the Rfam family "Bacterial small subunit ribosomal RNA", at positions 1322 to 1500 of the family's 1533-position model. The record is from RNAcentral.